This 611-nucleotide ribosomal RNA is filed under the name uncultured bacterium. RNAcentral describes it as "bacterial SSU rRNA". It matches the Rfam family "Bacterial small subunit ribosomal RNA", at positions 232 to 859 of the family's 1533-position model. The record is from RNAcentral.
UGCGGCGGAUUAGGUAGUUGGUGGGGUAACGGCCUACCAAGCCGAUGAUCCGUAGGGGGCGUGAGAGCGUGGCCCCCCACACUGGCACUGAGAUACGGGCCAGACUCCUACGGGAGGCAGCAGUGAGGAAUAUUGCACAAUGGGCGCAAGCCUGAUGCAGCAACGCCGCGUGCGGGACGAAGGCCUUCGGGUCGUAAACCGCUUUUCUGGGGAAAGAGCAAGGACGGUACCUCAGGAAUAAGUCUCGGCUAACUACGUGCCAGCAGCCGCGGUAAAACGUAGGAGGCGAGCGUUAUCCGGAUUUACUGGGCGUAAAGCGCACGCAGGCGGCUCCGUGAGUCGGACAUGAAAGCUCCUGGCUUAACUGGGAGAGGCUGUUCGAUACUGCGGGGCUUGAGGUUGGGAGAGGGACGCGGAAUUCCCGGUGUAGUGGUGGAAUGCGUAGAUAUCGGGAGGAACACCAGUGGCGCAAGCGGCGUCCUGGCCCACACCUGACGCUGAGGUGCGAAAGCGUGGGUAGCAAACAGGAUUAGAUACCCUGGUAGUCCACGCUGUAAACGAUGUCAACUGGGUGUCGGUAGUUUUACACUAUCGGUGCCGAAGCUAACGCG